Rhinolophus ferrumequinum (greater horseshoe bat) is the source of this 104-nucleotide small nuclear RNA. The record is from Ensembl. NCBI's taxonomy places the organism in Eukaryota, Metazoa, Chordata, Mammalia, Chiroptera, Rhinolophidae.
GUCCCUUCGGCUGUACAUAUACUAAAAUUGGAAUGAUAUAGAGAAGAUUAGCAGGGCCCCUGGGCAAGGAUAACAUGAAAACUCAUGGAGCAGUCCAUAUUUUA